UUCCUGAAGAGGAAACAACUCUUCCCAUCCAAUGCUAGAUUUUUGGGCUAAGAAGAAGAAAUUGCAUCCGGGCUUUUGUGCCGUACUUGCAAUUAAAGUGAAUAAAAAUGGAUAUGUUAUUUAAACAUUAAGAGGGAAGUUGGAAGGUGUUUAAUACUGUUACUGUCAAGGAAACGGGGAAGUAAUAAUUGGAAAUGAUGGAUGGAUACAGAGGAAGCUUUUUGUAUAAAUCAUAGAAUCAUAGAAUUGUCCAGGUUGGAAGGGACCUUUCAGAUCACCGAGUCCAACCAUCAACCUCACUCUGAUAAAAAACAUCACUAAACCAUGUCUCUAAGCUCUGUGUCAACCCAUCUUUUCAAUCCCUCCAGGGAUGGGGCCUCAACCCCUUCCCUGGGCAGCCCAUUCCAAGGCUUCAGAACCCUUUCUGUGUCAACAUUUUUCCUACUCUCCAAUCUGAACCUCCCCUGGAGCAACUUGAGGCCAUUUCCUCUUGUCCCAUCGCCUGGGACUUGGGAGAAGAGACCGACCCCCCCUGGCUACACCCUCCUUUCAGGGAGUUGGAGAGAGCGAGAAGGUCUCCCCUCAGCCUCCUUUUCUCCAGGCUGAACACCCCCAGCUCCCUCAGCCUCUCCUCAGGAGACUUGUUCUCCAGACCCCUCCCCAGCUCCGUUGCCCUUCUCUGGACCCGCUCCAGCCCCUCAAUGUCUUUUUUGUGGGAAGGGGCCCAAAACUGGACCCAGCCCUCGAGGUGGGGCCUCCCCAGUGCCCAGGACAGGGGGACCAUCACCUCCCGAGUCCUCCUCCCCACGCUGUUCCUGACACAGGCCAGGAUGCUGUUGGCCUUCUUGGCCACCUGGGCACACUGCUGGCUCCUGUUCAGCCCACAGGCCACCAACACCCCCAGGUCCUUUUCCUUAGGGCAGCUCCAGCCACUCUGCCCCCAGCCUGGAGCGCUGCAGGGGGUUGGUGGGACCCAAGGGCAGGACCCCUUUAAUUAGAUUGCAUCGUUGAAGAGAUCACUA
RNAcentral lists this long non-coding RNA (1022 nucleotides) under Calidris pygmaea (Spoon-billed sandpiper). RNAcentral describes it as "lncRNA (ENSCPGG00000015616.1)". Lineage: Eukaryota; Metazoa; Chordata; Aves; Charadriiformes; Scolopacidae. The record is from RNAcentral.